Molecule: ribosomal RNA, 1021 nt
Filed under: Acinetobacter baumannii
Lineage: Bacteria; Pseudomonadati; Pseudomonadota; Gammaproteobacteria; Moraxellales; Moraxellaceae
Description: bacterial SSU rRNA
Rfam family: Bacterial small subunit ribosomal RNA
Source: RNAcentral
GAAUGCAGUCGAGCGGGGGAAGGUAGCUUGCUACUGGACCUAGCGGCGGACGGGUGAGUAAUGCUUAGGAAUCUGCCUAUUAGUGGGGGACAACAUCUCGAAAGGGAUGCUAAUACCGCAUACGUCCUACGGGAGAAAGCAGGGGAUCUUCGGACCUUGCGCUAAUAGAUGAGCCUAAGUCGGAUUAGCUAGUUGGUGGGGUAAAGGCCUACCAAGGCGACGAUCUGUAGCGGGUCUGAGAGGAUGAUCCGCCACACUGGGACUGAGACACGGCCCAGACUCCUACGGGAGGCAGCAGUGGGGAAUAUUGGACAAUGGGGGGAACCCUGAUCCAGCCAUGCCGCGUGUGUGAAGAAGGCCUUAUGGUUGUAAAGCACUUUAAGCGAGGAGGAGGCUACUUUAGUUAAUACCUAGAGAUAGUGGACGUUACUCGCAGAAUAAGCACCGGCUAACUCUGUGCCAGCAGCCGCGGUAAUACAGAGGGUGCGAGCGUUAAUCGGAUUUACUGGGCGUAAAGCGUGCGUAGGCGGCUUAUUAAGUCGGAUGUGAAAUCCCCGAGCUUAACUUGGGAAUUGCAUUCGAUACUGGUGAGCUAGAGUAUGGGAGAGGAUGGUAGAAUUCCAGGUGUAGCGGUGAAAUGCGUAGAGAUCUGGAGGAAUACCGAUGGCGAAGGCAGCCAUCUGGCCUAAUACUGACGCUGAGGUACGAAAGCAUGGGGAGCAAACAGGAUUAGAUACCCUGGUAGUCCAUGCCGUAAACGAUGUCUACUAGCCGUUGGGGCCUUUGAGGCUUUAGUGGCGCAGCUAACGCGAUAAGUAGACCGCCUGGGGAGUACGGUCGCAAGACUAAAACUCAAAUGAAUUGACGGGGGCCCGCACAAGCGGUGGAGCAUGUGGUUUAAUUCGAUGCAACGCGAAAACCUUACCUGGCCUUGACAUACUAGAACUUUCCAGAAUGGAUUGGCCUUCGGGAAUCUAGAUACGGCUGCAUGGCUGUCGUCAGCUCGUGUCUGAGAGUUGGG